RNAcentral lists this long non-coding RNA (290 nucleotides) under Cicer arietinum (chickpea). RNAcentral's name for it is "long non-coding RNA (CARI_LNC000618)". Lineage: Eukaryota; Viridiplantae; Streptophyta; Magnoliopsida; Fabales; Fabaceae. The record is from RNAcentral.
CCAUCGAAAAUAACAUGCCAAGCUGACAAUAUUAGUAUAGGUACAGUCUUCCAUUUUAAUGUAAAUGCAAUACAAAAGAAAGACAUCUGAUCCCUCUAUGUCAACCUAAUCUGAUCAUUUUACAACACAACUAAACACCCUGACUAAUCUCCACGCGCCCCGUGAGAUCCUCCUAACGUAGCUGCAGUCAAGUGUUCCCAUCUCCAUUUCCGUCCGUAGGGUACGAACCGGUAGGAUCGUCCUGACUCUCAUCUGAGGGCAAAGCCCAGAUUUCCACAAUAAUUGUAAAG